This is a non-coding RNA of Cyanistes caeruleus (blue tit), 470 nucleotides long. NCBI's taxonomy places the organism in Eukaryota, Metazoa, Chordata, Aves, Passeriformes, Paridae. The record is from RefSeq and is a predicted model, not a curated record.
GACAAAGCUUUAUUUUUCACAUGGCUAGAAUAGAGGCAGCUUCAUUUGUCCAUGAGAAGCUUCUUAACUCUGGAUAUCUUAAUCCAGGCUCAGUGAAGAAGACUGUGUUGUAUGCUUUAAGUCAAGGACCUAGUAAUAACUGUAAGGCACAAUAAAACAAAAUGAGCAUCUCACAAACUUUACAGACAGACAAAAUAAUCCUGAGUGCAGCCAAGUUAUGUGACCGCUGCAGGAGCCAGACUGCAAAGUGGAAAAUCCCAUCAGAGCCAAGUGAGGAGGAAGCCAACUAAGACUGGCUACUUUCCACCACCAAAUGUCAGUCUCUCUCUGGCAGGUGAAAAAUCCAAGACUACAAGUUUACACUGCAAGAUCAUCCCACUGUGCAUUUUCUGCUCUGCUGGUACCCAGUGCUCCCCCACCUCCCCUGGGUUUAGCUUCACAAAAAAAGCUUCACCCCACUUCCCAUCUUG